GACCUCAAAUCAGGUAGGACUACCCGCUGAACUUAAGCAUAUCAUAG
RNAcentral lists this ribosomal RNA (47 nucleotides) under Furtadoella brasiliensis. Its description in RNAcentral is "Amauroderma brasiliense partial 28S ribosomal RNA". Lineage: Eukaryota; Fungi; Basidiomycota; Agaricomycetes; Polyporales; Polyporaceae. The record is from RNAcentral.